CAUUAGAAUCACGACUAUGAUGCAUUGCAUUGGUUACUGUUGAUGUGGAUUAGACCCAGGCGACUUCAAUAGCCCACGGAUCUGUUAUGUCUAGGUAAGACCUGUGUGAGCUCCACAGGAGGGGCCGGGCGCUAGUACAUGUAGUGACGAGCUCCGUAUGGGGUCGUGCACCGACAGAGGGAGUUUUGGGGUCAUGUCUAAUCCGAGAUGUGAAAUGUUUGUGCUGUGACGCAUUUCAUGCGUGCAUGUAAUGAAUG
Molecule: long non-coding RNA, 257 nt
Filed under: Manihot esculenta (cassava)
Lineage: Eukaryota; Viridiplantae; Streptophyta; Magnoliopsida; Malpighiales; Euphorbiaceae
Description: long non-coding RNA (MESC_LNC003405)
Source: RNAcentral